GACGAACGCUGGCGGCGUGCUUAACACAUGCAAGUCGAACGGAAAGGCCCUGCUUUUGUGGGGUGCUCGAGUGGCGAACGGGUGAGUAACACGUGAGUAACCUGCCCUUGACUUUGGGAUAACUUCAGGAAACUGGGGCUAAUACCGGAUAGGAGCUCCUGCUGCAUGGUGGGGGUUGGAAAGUUUCGGCGGUUGGGGAUGGACUCGCGGCUUAUCAGCUUGUUGGUGGGGUAGUGGCUUACCAAGGCUUUGACGGGUAGCCGGCCUGAGAGGGUGACCGGCCACAGUGGGACUGAGAUACGGGCCAGAAUCCUACGGGGGGCAGCAGUGGGGAAUAUUGCACAAUGGGCGGAAGCCUGAGGCAGCAACGCCGCGUGCGGGAUGACGGCCUGUGGGUUGUAAACCGCUUUCGCCGGUGAAGAAGCGUGAGUGACGGUAAUGGGUAAAGAAGAACCGGCUAACUACGGG
This 468-nucleotide ribosomal RNA is filed under the name uncultured bacterium. RNAcentral describes it as "partial 16S ribosomal RNA". It matches the Rfam family "Bacterial small subunit ribosomal RNA", at positions 28 to 507 of the family's 1533-position model. The record is from RNAcentral.